Cordylochernes scorpioides is the source of this 75-nucleotide non-coding RNA. Lineage: Eukaryota; Metazoa; Arthropoda; Arachnida; Pseudoscorpiones; Chernetidae. The record is from the annotation of a GenBank genome assembly.
GUUGGCCGGCUCAAAGUGGACAUGGCAUCUGCCCGGUAAGCGGAAGGUUGUGGGUUCGAUUCCCGCCCCUGGACA